RNAcentral lists this ribosomal RNA (254 nucleotides) under uncultured bacterium. RNAcentral describes it as "partial 16S ribosomal RNA". It matches the Rfam family "Bacterial small subunit ribosomal RNA", at positions 524 to 776 of the family's 1533-position model. The record is from RNAcentral.
UACGCAGGGGGCAAGCGUUGUUCGGAUUUACUGGGCGUAAAGGGCGCGUAGGCGGCGCGUAAAGUCGGACAUGAAAUCAUUAGGCUCAACCUAAUGGCUGUGUCCGAUACUUACGUGUUUGGAGUGCGGGGGAGGCAGCCGGAAUUCUCGGUGUAGUGGUGAAAUGCGUGGAUAUCGAGGGGAACACCGGAGACGAAGGUGGGUUGCUGGACCGACACUGACGCUGAGGCGCGAAAGCUAGGGGAGCAAACGGG